RNA transcript from Cercocebus atys (sooty mangabey), 1493 nucleotides. It is a transcript of the gene named lysine--tRNA ligase-like, with no coding region annotated. The transcript is spliced from 2 exons. Lineage: Eukaryota; Metazoa; Chordata; Mammalia; Primates; Cercopithecidae. The record is from RefSeq and is a predicted model, not a curated record.
AUGUUGACACAAGCUGCUGUAAGGCUUGUUAGGGGGUCCCUGCACAAAACCUCCUGGGUAGAGUUGGGUCGCAGGGAACUGCGACUGGGUCAACUUGCUCCUUUCACAGCGCCUCACAAGGACAAGCCAUUUUCUGAUCAAAGAAGUGAGCUGAAGAGACGCCUGAAAGCCAAUAAGAAAGUAGCAGAGAAGGAAGCCAAGCGGAAAGAGCUCAGUGAGAAACAGCUAAGCCAAGCCACCACUGCUGCCACCAAGCACACCACUGACAAUGGUGUGGGUCCUGAGGAAGAGAUCCUGGACCCAGAUCAAUACAACAAAAUUCACCGUCAAGCAAUUCAUCAACGGAAGGUCAAUGGGGAAGAUCCAUCCCCACACAAGUUCCAUGUAGACACCUCACUGACUUCAUCCCAGAAUAUCGUCACCUACAGCCUGGGGAUCACCUGACUGACAUCACCUUAAAGGUGGCAGGUAGGAUCCAUACCUAAAGAGCUUCUGGAGGAAAGCUCAUCUUCUAUGAGAGGGGGUGAAAUUGCAAGUCAUGGCCAAUUCCAGAAAUUAUAAAUCAGAAGAAGAAUUUAUUCAUAUUAAUAACAAACUGUGUCAGGGAGACAUAACUGGAGUUCAGGGAGUCCUGGGAAAACCAAGAAAGGUGAGCUGAGCAUCAUUCCGCAUGAGAUCACACUGCUGUCUCCCUGUUUGCAGAUGUUACCACAUCUUCACUUUGGCCUCAGAGAUAAGGAAACAAGGUAUCACCAGAGAUAUGUGGACUUGAUCCUGAAUAUUUUGUGAGGCAGAAAUGUAUCAUCUACUCUAAGAGCAUCACAUAUAUAAGAAGUUUCUUGGAUGAGCUGGGAUUCCUAGAGAUUGAAACUCCCAUGAUGAACAUCAUCCCAGAGGGAGUUGUGGCCCAGCCUUUCAUCACUUAUCACAACAAACUGGACAUGAAUUUAUAUAUGAGAAUUGCUCCAGAACUCUACCAUGCUUGUGGUUGGUGGCAUCGACCAGGUUUAUGAAAUUGGACGCCAGUUCCGGAAUGAGGGGAUUGAUUGAUUUGACACACAAUCCUGAGUUCACCACCUGUGAGUUCUACAUGGCCUAUGCAGACUAUCACGAUCUCAUGGAAGUCAUGGAGAAGAUGGUUUCAGGGAUGGUGAAGCAUAUUACAGGCAGUUACAAGGCCACCUACCCCCAGGUGGCUCAGAGGGCCAAGUCUAUGAUAUUGACUUCACCCCAUCCUUCUGGAGAAUCAACAUGUUCAUAGAUGAAAACUUCCGUACUGCCCUGGAAUACGGGCUGCCCCCCCACAGCUGGCUGGGACAUGGGCAUUGACCAAGUCGCCAUGUUUCUCACGGGCUCCAGCAACAUCAAGGAAGUACUUCUGUUUCCUGCCAUGAAACCCGAAGACAAGAAGGAGAAUGUAGCAACCACUGAUAUGCUGGAAAGCACAACAGUUGGCACUUCUGUCUAGAAAAUAAUAAUUGCAAGUUGUAUAA